Regulatory RNA element from Phyllobacterium sp. YR531, 60 nucleotides. It matches the Rfam family "terC RNA". The record is from Rfam. Lineage: Bacteria; Pseudomonadati; Pseudomonadota; Alphaproteobacteria; Hyphomicrobiales; Phyllobacteriaceae.
CCGCUGGUCCGGGCCCCUCUGGCAAGUUCCCCGGCUAACUUGCGAUGUCGGACCGUUUCC